AGUACUUGGUGUAUGAGGACUGCCUCCUGCAGCUUUUUAAAAUCUGCCCCACCUGCUCCAGACUCUGUGAAGCUGACACGUUUGUUAAAGGAACAUUCCUCUCUGUAACCCAGAAGUGCCUCUACACGAGUGUCUCUUCCUCAAGACUCCACAGCCCUGAUAACACCUGCUGAGAGUGAGAGGAGGGGAGAGGACACCAACUAGAGAACCCAGAACUAUGAGGAUGGGAGGAAGCCAAGGUACUCCUGGUGGAUACGGACAACAACGCAGGAAGGUAUCACUACCCGGUUGUACUUUCCCAGGUAUCCCCAGCACCAGGAAAUGAAGGAUGCCAGCACAUCAUGAUCCCUAGAAGAUGAAAGAUGGAUCAACCUGCAGCAUGCCCGAAAUCUAUUUGGCUGUAUGGACUGGCCAUCUGUUUUUUUUCUUUGUUUGCUUU
Molecule: long non-coding RNA, 439 nt
Organism: Labrus mixtus (cuckoo wrasse)
Lineage: Eukaryota; Metazoa; Chordata; Actinopteri; Labriformes; Labridae
Exons: 3
Source: RefSeq, a predicted model, not a curated record